Molecule: long non-coding RNA, 3437 nt
Organism: Oncorhynchus tshawytscha (Chinook salmon)
Lineage: Eukaryota; Metazoa; Chordata; Actinopteri; Salmoniformes; Salmonidae
Source: Ensembl
CCCACCACUGCGACCUGUAUGCUCUAGUCGGCUGGCCCUCGUUACAUAUUCGUCGCCAGACCCACUGGCUCCAGGUCAUCUACAAGUCCAUGCUAGGUAAAGCUCCGCCUUAUCUCAGUUCACUGGUCACGAUGGCAACACCCAUCCUUAGCACGCGCUCCAGCAGGUGUAUCUCACUGAUCAUCCCUAAAGCCAACACCUCAUUUGGCCGCCUUUCGUUCCAGUACUCUGCUGCCUGUGACUGGAACGAAUUGCAAAAAUCGCUGAAGUUGGAGACUUAUCUCCCUCACCAACUUCAAACAUCAGCUAUCUGAGCAGCUAACCGAUCGCUGCUGCUGUACAUAGUCUAUUGGUAAAUAGCCCACCCAUUUUCACCUACCUCAUCCCCAUACUGUUUUUAUUUAUUUACUUGCUAUUUUGCACACCAAUAUCUCUACCUGUACAUGACCAUCUGAUCAUUUAUCACUCCAGUGUUAAUCUGCAAAAUUGUAAUUAUUCGCCUACCUCCUCAUGCCUUUUGCACACAUUGUAUAUAGACUCCCCCCUUUGUUUUCUACUGUGUUAUUGACUUGUUAAUUGUUUAUUCCAUGUGUAACUCUGUUGUCUGCUCACACUGCUAUGCUUUAUCUUGGGCCAGGUCGCAGUUGCAAAUGAGAACUUGUUCUCAACUGGCCUACCUGGUUAAAUAAAGGUGAAAUAAAAAAUAAAUUAAAAAACACAUACCUUUUUCCAGCAGCAGACUAUGAUCGUUAAUGUCAAAAGCCGCACUGAAAAAAAAAAAAGCCUCCACAAUCUUAUCCAUUUUUUUCAGCCAAUCAUCAGUUUAGUGAUCAGUGUAAGUGGCUGUGCUUGUUGAAUGUCCUUCCCUGUAAGCGUGCUGAAAGUUUGUCAAUUUGUUUACUGUAAAAUAACAUUGUAUCUGGUCCCCCCCCAAAAUCUGAAGUUUAUUAACAGGCUGAUUAGUCGGCUAUUUGAGCCAGUAAAGGGGGAUUUACUAUUCUUGGGUAGCGGAAUGACUUUUGCUUCCAUUCAGGCCGGAGGGUACACACUUUCUAGUAGGCUUAAAUUGAAGAUGUGGCAAAUAGGAGUGGCAAUAUCAUCCUCUAUGAGUAAUUUUAAAUCCAGAUUGUCAGACCCCAGUGGCUUGUCAUUGUUGAUAGACAACAACAAUAAUUUUCACCUCUUCCACACUCACUUUACGGAAUUCAAAAAUACAAUGCUCAUUUUAAUUUUUUUGGCAGAUAUACUUGGAUGUAUAGUGUCAGCAUUUGUUACUGGCAUAUCAUGCCUAAAUUUGCUAAUCUUGCCAAUGAAAAAGUCAUUAAUGUAGCAAUAUCAGUGGGUUUUAUGAUAAAUGAGCCAUCUUAUUCAAUGAAUGAUCGAGCCGAGUUUGCUUUUUCCCCAGAAUUUCAUAUAAGGCACUCUAAAGCGUUUUACUAUCAUUCUUUAUAUAAUUUAUUUUUGUUUCAUAGUAUUGUUGAUUUUUAUUUAGUUUAGUCACAUGAUUUCUUGAUUUGCAGUACGUUUGCCAAUCAGUUGGGCUGCCAGACUUAUUUGCCAUACCUUUGGCCUCAUCCCUCUCAACCACACAAUUUUCAAUUCCUCAUCGAUCCAAGGGGAUUUGACAGUAUUUACAUUAAUUCUUUAUAGGUGCAUGCUUAUUAGUAACUGGAAUAAGCAAUUUCAGAAAUGUGUCAAGUCUGGUUGCUCCUCAAUUCACUCCACAGACCAGCAAAUAUUCUGCCAACAUAACAUUCAUGACAAAACUUCUUGUGUGACCUCAACAAGCUUCCAUUCCCCCUGUUACAAGGGAAUUUAUGGCUGAUUUAAGAAGAAAUCGUCAACCCCUUUACUGUCAACUCUUACUUUAUUUGCACCUUGAUAAUCACUUUUUUUUACCUCUUGAUUUGGAUAAACAUGCUUUUUUACGAACAUGUGCUCUUCAUGUUAAAAUUAAGUUUAAGUUCAAUUUUAAGUUACACUUGUCAAAAGGCACUGAAUUGAUGGAACGACCCAUCUGUGAACAUGUUUUUUGUGUCUGCCUAGUUAAAUGAUUUUUUUUUUUUUUUUUUUUUUAACUGUCAGAAGAAGGCCCACACAGAAAGCAAACAGAAGGAAACCAAACACUCACUGUCGGUCUAAGUCUUUUCAACUGCGAAAGUAGCUGUCUGAACCCAACCUUAAAACACCCAGAGCCAUAGAACUGACAAGAGAGAUGCACAAAGGAAAGAAAAAAUGUGAUGCACAAUGGCAUGAGGGAAAGAUCGAAGACAAAAAUAGAAAGAGGAUGUGUCAUUUUUAGACGCAAGGCCCCUCCCUCCACCCACGUUUCGCUGCUGUUGUGUGGGCGUCAGGACAGCAUGCAAAUAUUUUUACACUUUCACACUCCUCUACAUACACUCUCUGUCUAGAGAAAACUCUCACACUCAGCCUAUAGUCCCAUAGCGCCCAUAGAGUCAUUCUAAGGUAACUAUAAUAUAAGGUGAAUGACAAUUUGAAAAGAGAGAGGGAGUUGUAUGAAAAAUGGAAUGACUCACCAUACAACUCAACAACUGAGCAAAGACAUCCCAUCAAUUUCAACUAAAAUACCAAAACAUCAGGAACUAAGUAGUUGAAGCAACGCCAUGAAAGGCAGGGAAAGACCAAUUCAAAUUCCCUCCACAGAGCUUCCCUCGUAUAGCAGAAUCCCAGUGCUGCCAUCACUAUUGGUGCGUUGAGUGUAACCGGGCGGCAUAUCAGCGGAUAUUUGUAACCGCUGGUGACUAUGAUAAACUAUGCUAAUGAAGUAUAACCCGUUGGGCGCUCCCCUGCACAAACAUAGGCCCAAGGGAGAGUCAACAGGUGGGAGCUCCGUUUAAGUGUGUUCAAAAAAAGGGCAACAGGUUGCUGGAUGUCAGGGGUCUUCCAGUAAACAGACCUCCCACGGCAGGCAACCUGCAGAGGAGGGAGUUUACCCACACCACCGCCCAGCCAAUCUAAGUAAUAACUCUCUGCCCACAGUGACAAACACCUCCUUCAGACCCAGAGUUGGUUUACAGUUGACAAAAGCCUCCCAUGUGUUCCCACUCUGCCUUGGCCAGUACACUGCAUGCCAUUAUGCAAAAAUAGUGUUGUACUGUAGGGAGAGAUACUCUAUGACCUUAACACCACCAGUGGUCAGAACCUGGUAAAACCAGGAUGUAUGAUAGGUUAAUGUCCCAACUCUGAACAUGGACAAAAAACAAUCCCCAAAUUCAAUGAGAAUACAUUACAUUGGAUAAAGAAACAACACUCCAGGCUGCAGCUCCAACCUACUUGUCAGACAUAGAGAACUGAUACUGCAUACUUAUUGGGUUGGGAUUGGAGUAUCCGUGGGUGGCAUUUGACUAUUUCUUUAGAUUCCAAGUCUUACUCAUAACCACGUUUGCAGCCACAAAAGUCAAAUUGUAUAAAACAAC